GCCCGCCUAGCUCAAUCGGAUAGAGCGUCAGACUCUUAUUUAGGCGGGUUAACCAAUUUACUGGGUAUCUGAAGGCUGCGAGUUCGACCCUCGCGGUGGGCU
Molecule: transfer RNA, 102 nt
Organism: Piloderma croceum F 1598
Lineage: Eukaryota; Fungi; Basidiomycota; Agaricomycetes; Atheliales; Atheliaceae
Rfam family: tRNA
About the family: Transfer RNA (tRNA) molecules are approximately 80 nucleotides in length. Their secondary structure includes four short double-helical elements and three loops (D, anti-codon, and T loops).
Source: Rfam